GAUGAACGCUGACAGAAUGCUUAACACAUGCAAGUCUUUGGCGAAGCUGCGCUUGCGCAGACGAGCCAAGGCGGACGGGUGAGUAACGCGUAAGGAACUUGCCCUGCAGACAGGGAUAACAGACGGAAACGACUGACAAGACCUGAUACAGUUGCCGGCACGCAUGUGCCUGGCGAUGAAAGGAGACGCUGCAGGAGAGCCUUGCGUCCUAUUAGCUUGUUGGCGGGGUAAUGGCCCACCAAGGCGAUGAUAGGUAGCCGGCCUGAGAGGGUGGACGGCCACAAGGGGACUGAGAUACGGCCCUUACUCCUACGGGAGGCAGCAGUGGGGAAUAUUGGACAAUGGGGGCAACCCUGAUCCAGCAAUUCUGUGUGCACGAAGAAGGUUUUCGGAUUGUAAAGUGCUUUCAGCAGGGAAGAAGAAAGUGACGGACCUGCAGAAGAAGCGCG
This 449-nucleotide ribosomal RNA is filed under the name Leptotrichia shahii. RNAcentral describes it as "bacterial SSU rRNA". It matches the Rfam family "Bacterial small subunit ribosomal RNA", at positions 28 to 494 of the family's 1533-position model. The record is from RNAcentral. Lineage: Bacteria; Fusobacteriati; Fusobacteriota; Fusobacteriia; Fusobacteriales; Leptotrichiaceae.